AAGGGGUCCACCUGGGCAAGUUCGACGGGGGCGGCCGGGGAGGAAUCCCCUUCGGGGAGGAAGACCCCGCGGCCUAAGUGGCGGACGGGUGAGUAACGCGUGGGCAACCUGCCCCAUACCGGGGGAUAACAGCCGGAAACGGCUGCUAACACCGCAUAAGCGCUGGGGGCCGCAUGGCACCCGGCGGAAAACUCCGGUGGUAUGGGAUGGGCCCGCGUCUGAUUAGGCAGUUGGCGGGGCAGCGGCCCACCAAACCGACGAUCAGUAGCCGGCCUGAGAGGGCGGCCGGCCACAUUGGGACUGAGACACGGCCCAGACUCCUGCGGGAGGCAGCAGUGGGGAAUAUUGCACAAUGGGGGGAACCCUGAUGCAGCGACGCCGCGUGGGCGAGGAAGUAUUUCGGUACGUAAAGCCCUAUCGGCAGGGAAGAAGAAAUGACGGUACCUGAAUAAGAAGCACCGGCUAAAUACGUGCCAGCAGCCGCGGUAAUACGUAUGGUGCAAGCGUUAUCCGGAUUUACUGGGCGUAAAGGGAGCGCAGGCGGCGCGCCAAGUCUGAUGUGAAACCCCGGGGCUCAACCCCGGGCAUGCAUUGGAAACU
RNAcentral lists this ribosomal RNA (600 nucleotides) under uncultured bacterium. RNAcentral describes it as "bacterial SSU rRNA". It matches the Rfam family "Bacterial small subunit ribosomal RNA", at positions 1 to 634 of the family's 1533-position model. The record is from RNAcentral.